This 468-nucleotide ribosomal RNA is filed under the name uncultured bacterium. RNAcentral describes it as "partial 16S ribosomal RNA". It matches the Rfam family "Bacterial small subunit ribosomal RNA", at positions 28 to 507 of the family's 1533-position model. The record is from RNAcentral.
GACGAACGCUGGCGGCGUGCUUAACACAUGCAAGUCGAACGGACAGGCCCUGCUGUUGUGGGGUGCUCGAGUGGCGAACGGGUGAGUUACCCGUUUGUAACCUGUCGUCGACUUUGGGAUAACUUCAGGAAACUGGGGCUAAUACCGGAUAGGAGCUCCUGCUGAAUGGUGGGGCUUGGAAAGUUUCGGCGGUUGGGGAUGGACUCGCGGCUUAUGAGCUUGUUGGUGGGGUAGUGGCUUACCAAGGCUUUGACGGGUAGCCGGCCUGAGAGGGUGACCGGCCACAUUGGGACUGAGAUACGGCCCAGACUCCUACGGUAGGCAGCGGUGGGGAAUAGUGCACAAUGGGCUGAAGCCUGAUGCAGCAACGCCGCGUGCGGGAUGACGUCCUUCGGGUUGUAAACCGCUUUCGCCUGUGACGAAGCGUGAGUGACGGUAAUAGGUAAAGAAGCACCGGCUAACUACGUG